CAGAAAGCACACUACAACUGAGUUUCACCGAAGCUGGAACAAAAUCUCAGGUGGCUCUCUAGACUUCAGUACCAGGAAUUCACAGAUUUUUAGACCAGAUCUCCGCCUUAGAUGACUCACUAAAUCAGAUCUCCACUCCAACUACCCUCUUUUCAAAAGACAGACAGUUGCCAUGAUUGUCAAAUUUGGUGUAGAGGCUCCUUCUACAAGAGGUUGUCUUCAUUUAUGACCUUCGUUCAUUCAACACACUCAUUUUUGAUAACUUGUGUGCUAAGCUUUGUGUGAAGAGCACAAAUAAAAUGCUACCGGGGCACAGAGGAGCUUUAUUCUGCUGGGAGACUAGAACUGGGCACCACUACCCACAGGAAACAACAUAUGAAGCGUAUCCAGACUGUGGUAUGUCACUAUGGUAACUAUAGUCUCAACUGUCAAAGAACAAAGGUUAGUCCUUCCUGGUGAAUGUGACCCAUCCUGGUAAGUAUAUUUUUGUUCUCUGUCUACUAAUUGCAACCUCAGAGUCACUAUGUGGCAUUAUAUUAUAAUAGUAAUGGAAGUAUUAUAUUGUAUCUUUGUAUUGCAUGGUAUUGUAUUGUAUCACAUCCAAAGAAGAAAAUAGGAAGGAAAGAAGAUAUUAAUUGAGGUUUAAGGGUGUGGCCACUAAACAAAUUAAACUAACUUUUCCUUUCUCUACUAAUACCUACCUCUUUAUAGCAGAGAUUUUGAGGAAAACUAGUUAUGGUUUUCUAUUUGGAAUGAUAAAAUUUUGAGAAAGAUGGAGAUGAAGAAAGAAAAGAAAUAGGACAUUAUAGUUCCAGAAUUUCCAUAUAGGACAUGCUUGGGGUGGCUGUCAGAAAAGAGGAACAGGGGAAUUUCCUGUAGUAUUUGAGCAAUGAACCCAGUGAUUUUACUUAGGAUUGUAUGUUGAUUUGGGGAGGCUUGGAAGAGGCUCUUAGACAUUGGAAGGGGAAGCUCUCAAGUCAUUCCUUGGUAUUUCCACUGGUAAUAGGGUGCUCAGAAAAAAAUGCAAACAUUUUUAUUGGUAGGUAAUUUAUGAAAAAGCGUUUUCAUACAAGGGAACUUUUCCCAAUUUUAGAAUUGAAGCCCUGGAUGUUCUGACAUGAAGAUUUGUCAAAAGGAACUUCUCUAGACUCCAAAAGAAUACAAUUUCUUAUCCUUGAUGUAACUUAAAUUGAUGAGUUUAUGUAGUCCAAGGAAACAAUUUCUCUAACCUCAGGGGAACAAAAUAAGGUAGUGCCCGAAUAACAGCACAAUUGUUGUCUUGUCUUAGUAGCCUACUCCCUGCUCCAUGCUUUUUGUCUCAGUACCUACAGUGCUGGGGGAAAAAAAAACCUAUUCAAGUGUGCUAGGGGCCGGUGCCUUUAGAACCCUCCUGAAAGCCCACUGGUUGGAUGAGUCAUUAAAUAUCUCUCCACUCAGUCUGUUCAGCACUGCUUUGCCUGGAUCAUAUCCACAUUCCUACCUUUGACUCUAAACCAAAGUUAGGACUUGCUUAUUCCUUUUGGCACAUUUUCAUAUCAUGAGCACAUUUUGUGAUAUGUCCAUCUGCACAGCUAUCUAAAUAAGCACAGACUUAUGGGGAGUGUGGCUGAGAGUUCACUUAAGAUCAUUUACAGGCUCC
This 1639-nucleotide long non-coding RNA is filed under the name Equus asinus (donkey). RNAcentral's name for it is "lncRNA (ENSEASG00005038013.1)". The record is from RNAcentral. Lineage: Eukaryota; Metazoa; Chordata; Mammalia; Perissodactyla; Equidae.